Molecule: transfer RNA, 72 nt
Filed under: Bos taurus (domestic cattle)
Lineage: Eukaryota; Metazoa; Chordata; Mammalia; Artiodactyla; Bovidae
Also listed under: 2 other names
Rfam family: tRNA
About the family: Transfer RNA (tRNA) molecules are approximately 80 nucleotides in length.
Source: Rfam by way of RNAcentral
UCCCUGGUGGUCCAGUGGUUAGGAUUCAGUACUUUCACUGCUGUGAUCUGGGUUCAAUCCCUGGUUGCAGAA